GGGACACUUUAUGGUGUCGCACCGCUGAUUCCGUCAGCACCUGAUAAUUCAACGUGAACGCGACGUGUUCUGGACGUUUAGUUCAACAAGCGUCUUCAACAGGACGUAGAAACAUGGAGACUCACGCGGAGGUCGCUCCACCUCAUGUUGCAGGUGAUUAUACAAUAUAUUCAAUUUCUAUGAAUAAGUUCUUCUAAAUAUUACACAUUGUCGUUUUAACUUUCGUUCUUUUUAUUUAGGUAAGAUUUGUACUUAUUUUAUUGAGGUAAAGGAUCCGACCGCUCCUCUACAACUGGUUUCCUUCGGCAGGCGCAAAGUGCGAAUGUUCCCACUUCAACUAUCAUGCAGGUGUUUUGCAGUAACUGAUCUGUUGUGCAGUUCGAACACAACAAGGUCCUGCCCUGCUGCUCUCACGCCUCCACUUCCUGCUCCUCCUCCCAACGACUGUUCAUAUGUUACUGUACCUUCGUCUUUGCGAAAGCAAUAUUCCGAGACAAUUCCGACGACGGCCUCGCCAGUUUCAUCGUGGGCCAGGCGACAGAUUGCAGAAAAAUAAGAAGCUUCACCUCGAACAUUCACAAGUAUUCGACUUCCCCUCAGUUUCCGGUGGAUUGUUGAGACGGAAAAGCUCAGACAUGGGAAGUAUAAUUUCGUCGGAAGGAGACGAUGGGGACUUGACUUCCGCCGAGCUGAAGGACGAACUCGUCCCCAGUCUGACGUCUUUCGCGGAGCUCUACGAUCGACGCACAGAUCGUCUUCAGGCGGCGUCAGCGAGCUUCGCGCAGGCGGCUGCUCGAGUGCGUGAAGAACAAAAGGACGAGUCCGUCACUAAGACAAUUCGUGGGAUGAUCGGCGGAGCUUUUGGCGCAUUGUCUGGGGGCGUUGCAGGCGGGGUUUUUGGGGCAUUAGGGGCAGUUUCCGCAGGAACUUUGAGCAUUCUUUGUGAAGAAAUCAGCGCAGUCGGCGCCACUGCCGGGUUGGCUGGGAGUUUAAUUGGCGGUGUAGGUGGGGGAGCGUUUUCCGGCUGCAUUGGCGGCGCCGUCAGUGCCGCCAACGCAGAGGCAACAAGUUCAUUUCCCGGUGUUGUUAGCGAUGCAGUGUGGUUCAGCCUUGGCUUGGCAACUGGCGGUGCAAUGGGUCGUGUGUUCGGAGGCAGCGUGGGCGCGGCAGGCGGCGCGGCUGGUGGCGCAUUUGGUGCGUGGAAUGGUGCGAGAUUUGCAGUUUAUGUGGUUGGAAGUCUUUCAACCCAGUGUUUGAACGAAGAGAAAAAGACAAAGGAAGCGUCCAUGGUACAACAAACUGGACACGACCUCAGUGAAACCAUCAAACCACUGGUGGUGGAGCUGAACACGAUCAAGACCAUCACUCGGAAGAUAACCUCCAGCGCUGACGUGAGACGGACCGCAGGACAAACUGCAAAGACUCUGGCUGCCGUGACCGCGAUGGAGAAAACUGUCAGCGACUGUCAGACGGCCACAGAUUUAACUCGGUUCGUGUCCAGUGUUGACAAAGCUGCGAGACAAAGCCGACGAACCUGUGAGGAACUGAAAAAGAUGAGAACGGAAGCUGAAAAACUCCUGGGUUCACUGAGGACACACUGA
Long non-coding RNA from Scophthalmus maximus (turbot), 1601 nucleotides. Lineage: Eukaryota; Metazoa; Chordata; Actinopteri; Pleuronectiformes; Scophthalmidae. The record is from Ensembl.